RNAcentral lists this long non-coding RNA (1257 nucleotides) under Cricetulus griseus (Chinese hamster). RNAcentral's name for it is "lncRNA (ENSCGRG00015034451.1)". Lineage: Eukaryota; Metazoa; Chordata; Mammalia; Rodentia; Cricetidae. The record is from RNAcentral.
GUUGAUGAAUAAAACACUGUUUGGCCAAUAGCCAGUAAAGGCAGGAAGACAGGCGGGACUAGAAGACAAGGAGAAGUCUAGGAGACAGGCUCCACAAGAGGAUACCAGGGAACCGACAAAGGAGUAGCAGGUCCAGGUAUUCUCCGAUAGGAAAGUCUAGUCCUCAGAUAGAUAAGACUUCUCCUAAGUCUGGCUACUUUGAAGACAUUGUUUCUGCAUUUACACAAUGGAAUACUACUCAGCAGAAAAAAAACAAUGAAAUCUUGAAAAUUGCAAGAAAAUGGAUGGAACUAGAAGAAACUGAGUGAGGUAACCCAAUCACAGAAAGACAAACAUGGUAUGUAUUCACUCAUAUGUGGAUUUUAGACAUAGAGUAAGGAUUACCAGCCUAAAAUCCACACUGCCAAAGAAGCUAAUAAACAAGGAGGACACUAAGAGAGACAUACAUGGUCUCCUGGAGAAGGGGAAAGGGUCAAGAUCCCCUGAGCAAAUUGGGAGCACGGAAAGACAGGAGGGAGCUAGAAGAAUGAGAAGGGGAAAAGAGGAGGGUGCAGAGGACAUGAGGGAGCAGAAAGGUUGAGUCAGGGGAAGAAUAGAUGACAACAAGAAUGGAGAUACCAUAAUAGAGGAAGACAUUUUAGGUUUACAGAGAAAUCAGGCACUAGGGAAAGGUCUGGAGAUCUACAAAGAUGACACCAACUAACAAUCUAAGCAACAGAGGAGAGGCUACCUUAAAUGCCCUCUCCUGAUAAUGAGACUGAUGACUGUCUUAUAUACCAUCCUAUAGCCUUCAACCAACAACUGGUGGAAGUAGAAGCAGACACCCACAACUAAUCACUGAACUGAAUUGGAAUUCAGUUGCAGAGAAGGACAGGUGAAAAGCAAAGGGGCCCAGACCAGGCUAGUGAAACCCACAGAAACAGCUGACCUGGACAUCGGGGAACUCUUGCUCCUCAGACUGAUAGAUGGAAUACCAGCAUGGGACUGAUCCAGACCCCAGGAACAUGGGUUUCUGUAAGGAAACCUCGGAAUUCUACUGGACUUCCUGUAGUAGUUCAAUACUUGUCCCUAGCAUAGGUGUGGACUUUGGGAGCCCAUUCCACAUAGAGGAAUACUCCCUGAGCCAAAACACAUAGGGCUGGGCCUAGACCCUAUCCCAAAGGAUAUGAUAGACUCUGAUGACACCCUAUGGAAGACCUCACCAUCCAGGGCGAGUAAAAAGGAUAUGUGAUAGGUAGGGUUUUAGUUGGGGGGAGG